CCCCCCCCCAAAAAAAACCUCUUUUUCAAGCUCAUUUGGCAAUAAGUGCUUUUGGGAUGGGACGAGGCAAGUCAUGAAGCAUCAUCUUCAAAAUGCAAACAGAUAUUAACAAGUAGAACAAAGUACCUGAUGGCAAAUCUCGCAAAUUAUAUCACCCUUCUCAUUGCACCAACGCUGAACACAUUUCCUAUGAGCAUACUGCAUUUUGUAACAAA
Molecule: long non-coding RNA, 215 nt
Filed under: Nicotiana benthamiana
Lineage: Eukaryota; Viridiplantae; Streptophyta; Magnoliopsida; Solanales; Solanaceae
Description: long non-coding RNA (NBEN_LNC000487)
Source: RNAcentral